RNAcentral lists this signal recognition particle RNA (291 nucleotides) under Otolemur garnettii (small-eared galago). Its description in RNAcentral is "Metazoan signal recognition particle RNA". It matches the Rfam family "Metazoan signal recognition particle RNA". Rfam says of the family: The signal recognition particle (SRP) is a universally conserved ribonucleoprotein. It is involved in the co-translational targeting of proteins to membranes. Lineage: Eukaryota; Metazoa; Chordata; Mammalia; Primates; Galagidae. The record is from Rfam by way of RNAcentral.
GCCAGGCAUGGUAGUGCAUUUCUAUAGACUCAUCUACUCAGGAGGCUGAGGCAGGAGGAUUGCUUGGGUCCAGGGAUUCCAGGCACUAUGCCAGUCAGGUAUCUGCUCUAAGUUCAGCAUCAACAUGGUGACCUCCUGGAGGCAGGGCACAGCAGCUUCUCUAAGGAGGACUGAACUGGCCCAGAUUGGAAAUGAAACAGGUUAAAAUUCCCAUGCUGAUCAGGAGAGAGAUUUCACGGAUAGACAGCCACUGAAUUCCAGCCUGGGCAACACAGCAAGACACCAUCUCUA